CCUACGGGAGGCAGCAGUGGGGAAUAUUGGGCAAUGGGCGCAAGCCUGACCCAGCAACGCCGCGUGAAGGAAGAAGGCUUUCGGGUUGUAAACUUCUUUUGUCAGGGACGAAGCAAGUGACGGUACCUGACGAAUAAGCCACGGCUAACUACGUGCCAGCAGCCGCGGUAAUACGUAGGUGGCAACCGUUAGCCGGAUUUGCUGGGUGUAAAGGGCGUGUAGGCGGGGAAGCAAUGCAGAUGUGAAAACCACGGGCUCAACCUGUGGCCUGCAUUUGAAACUGUUUUUCUUGAGUACUGGAGAGGCAGACGGAAUUCCUAGUGUAGCGGUGAAAUGCGUAGAUAUUAGGAGGAACACCAGUGGCGAAGGCGGUCUGCUGGACAGCAACUGACGCUGAGGCGCGAAAGCGUGGGGAGCAAACAGGAUUAGAUACCCUUGUAGUC
Molecule: ribosomal RNA, 443 nt
Filed under: uncultured bacterium
Lineage: Bacteria
Description: partial 16S ribosomal RNA
Rfam family: Bacterial small subunit ribosomal RNA
Source: RNAcentral